CCUACGGGUGGCUGCAGUGAGGAAUAUUGGUCAAUGGACGAGAGUCUGAACCAGCCAAGUAGCGUGAAGGAUGACUGCCCUAUGGGUUGUACACUUCUUUUAUAUGGGAAUAAAACAGGGUAUGCAUACCCUCUUGUAUGUACCAUAUGAAUAAGGAUCGGCUAACUCCGUUCCAGCAGCCGCGGUAAUACGGAGGAUGCGAGCGUUAUCCGGAUUUAUUGGGUUUAAAGGGUGCGUAGUCGGUAUUUUAAGUUAGUGGUAAAACGUCGGGGCUUCACCUUGAUUGGCAAUUAAAACUGGAGUACUAGAGUACAGAAGAGGUAGGCGGAAUAAGUUAAGUAGCGGUGAAAUGCUUAGAUAUAACUUAGAACCCCGAUAGCGAAGGCAGCUUACCAGACUGUUACUGACGCUGAAGCACGAGAGCGUGGGUAGCGAACAGGAUUAGAUACCCUUGUAGUC
Molecule: ribosomal RNA, 459 nt
Filed under: uncultured bacterium
Lineage: Bacteria
Description: partial 16S ribosomal RNA
Rfam family: Bacterial small subunit ribosomal RNA
Source: RNAcentral